ACGGCUCAGUAACACGUCGAUAACCUUCCCUAUGGUCAGGGAUAAGCUCGGGAAACUGAGUGUAACACCUGAUAGGGAAACGGCACUGGAAUGUCCGUUUCUUCAAACUCGCGCCUUAGGAUGGGUCGGCGGCGGAUUAGGCAGUUGGUGGGGUAACGGCCCACCAAACCUUUGAUCCGUACGGGCCAUGAGAGUGGUAGCCCGGAGAGGGACACUGAAAUACUGGUCCCAGCCCUACGGGGUGCAGCAGGCGCGAAACCUCCACAAGGCACGAAAGUGUGAUGGGGGGAUCCUACGUGCUCAUGUCUAACAUGGGCUUUUGCCGAGAUUAGACAUCUCGGCGAAUAAGGGGUGGGUAAGACCGGUGCCAGCCGCCGCGGUAACCCCGGCGCCCCGAGUGGCAAUCGCGAUUAUUGGGCCUAAAGCGUCCGUAGUCGGAUAGGUAAAUCCUCUGUGAAAUCGCUGCGCUUAACGCAGCGGCAGGCAGGGGAAACUGCCUAUCUCGAGACCGGGAGGGGUCAGAGGUAUGCCGUGGGGACUGGUAAAAUGGUAUAAUCCACGGUAGACCACCAAUGGCGAAGGCAUCUGACCAGAACGGAUCUGACGAUGAGGGACGAAAGCUGGGGGAGCGAACCGGAUUAGAUACCCGAGUAGUCCCAGCCGUAAACGCUGUGAGCUAGGUGUCGCCCAUCCCACGAGGAUGGGCGGUGUCGAAACGAAGGUGCUAAGCUCACCGCCUGGGAAGUACGGUCGCAAGACUGAAACUUUAAGGAAUUGGCGGGGGAGCAC
This 789-nucleotide ribosomal RNA is filed under the name uncultured archaeon. RNAcentral describes it as "bacterial SSU rRNA". It matches the Rfam family "Archaeal small subunit ribosomal RNA", at positions 85 to 879 of the family's 1478-position model. The record is from RNAcentral.